AAGAACCUUACCAGGUCUUGACAUCCCAGUGACCGUCCUAGAGAUAGGAUUUUUCUUCGGAACACUGGAGACAGGUGGUGCAUGGUUGUCGUCAGCUCGUGUCGUGAGAUGUUGGGUUAAGUCCCGCAACGAGCGCAACCCCUAUUGUUAGUUGCCAUCAUUAAGUUGGGCACUCUAGCGAGACUGCCGGUAAUAAACCGGAGGAAGGUGGGGAUGACGUCAAAUCAUCAUGCCCCUUAUGACCUGGGCUACACACGUGCUACAAUGGCUGGUACAACGAGUCGCAAGUCGGUGACGACAAGCUAAUCUCUUAAAGCCAGUCUCAGUUCGGAUUGUAGGCUGCAACUCGCCUACAUGAAGUCGGAAUCGCUAGUAAUCGCGGAUCAGCACGCCGCGGUGAAUACGUUCCCGGGCCUUGUACACACCGCCCGUCACACCACGAGAGUUUGUAACACCCGAAGUCGGUGAGGUAACCAUUUGGAGCCAGCCGCCUAAGGUGGGAUAGAUGAUUGGGGUGAAGUCGUAACAAGGUAACCGUACCU
This 542-nucleotide ribosomal RNA is filed under the name uncultured bacterium. RNAcentral's name for it is "bacterial SSU rRNA". It matches the Rfam family "Bacterial small subunit ribosomal RNA", at positions 964 to 1507 of the family's 1533-position model. The record is from RNAcentral.